Molecule: unclassified non-coding RNA, 336 nt
Filed under: soil metagenome
Description: partial contains 5.8S ribosomal RNA, internal transcribed spacer 2, and large subunit ribosomal RNA
Rfam family: 5.8S ribosomal RNA (bases 1-120)
Source: RNAcentral
GAUGAAGAACGUAGCGAAAUGCGAUAAGUAAUGUGAAUUGCAGAAUUCAGUGAAUCAUCGAAUCUUUGAACGCACAUUGCGCCCGCCAGUAUUCUGGCGGGCAUGCCUGUUCGGGCGUCAUUUCAACCAUCAAGCCCCAGGCUUGUGUUGGGGACCUGCGGCUGCCGCAGGCCCUGAAAACCAGUGGCGGGCUCGCUGUCACACCGGGCGUAGUAGAUUUUAUCUCGCUCAGGGCGUGCUGCGGGUUCCGGCCGUUAAAAAGCCUUUUUUACCCAAGGUUGACCUCGGAUCAGGUAGGAAGACCCGCUGAACUUAAGCAUAUCAAUAAGCGGAGGA